AACGGCUGCUAAUCCCGGAUAAGCCGAGAGGUAAAAGAUUUAUCGCCUACAGAGGGGCUUGCGUCUGAUUAGCUAGUUGGUGUGGUAAGAGCGCACCAAGGCGACGAUCAGUAGCUGGUCUGAGAGGAUGAUCAGCCACACUGGGACUGAGACACGGCCCAGACUCCUACGGGAGGCAGCAGUGGGGAAUUUUCCGCAAUGGGCGAAAGCCUGACGGAGCAAGACCGCGUGGGGGAGGAAGGUUUUUGGAUUGUCAACCCCUUUUCUCAGGGAAGAAGAAAGUGACGGUACCUGAGGAAGAAGCAUCGGCUAACUCCGUGCCAGCAGCCGCGGUAAUACGGAGGAUGCAAGCGUUAUCCGGAAUGAUUGGGCGUAAAGAGUCCGUAGGUGGCCCUUCAAGUCUGCUGUUAAAGAGCGAGGCUUAACUUCGUAAAAGCAGUGGAAAC
Molecule: ribosomal RNA, 446 nt
Filed under: uncultured Planktothrix sp.
Lineage: Bacteria; Bacillati; Cyanobacteriota; Cyanophyceae; Oscillatoriales; Microcoleaceae
Description: bacterial SSU rRNA
Rfam family: Bacterial small subunit ribosomal RNA
Source: RNAcentral